Non-coding RNA from Podarcis lilfordi (Lilford's wall lizard), 99 nucleotides. NCBI's taxonomy places the organism in Eukaryota, Metazoa, Chordata, Lepidosauria, Squamata, Lacertidae. The record is from the annotation of a GenBank genome assembly.
AACUAAGUUUGUUCUUGGUAUGAGCUUUCGUGUGCAUGCACUUCUUCUGAAGAAGUGUGCAUGCACACGAAAGCUCAUACCAAGAACAAACUUAGUUGG